GCCCGCCGGAUGAACUGGGUCCUCGGGAUCCCUGAGCUCUGCAGCCUUGGCAGCAGUGUGAGGAGGCUCUCGCUGCGUUUCCACGGGUGGGAUCAAGUGGAAUUUUGGAAGGAUGAGUGCUGGCAACUUAAGCUCUGACUUCUGGAAGGCACGGAGCAGGAUGGAGGGACCUCUGUGAGUCAGGAGACAGCAGGCCCGGGACUUGAGUGAUGGAAGUUCUUUGCUCCCAGAACCACUGUGGCUAUGGCACUCCCUCUCUGACAUCCCUGAUGUUUCUGUCUGCCCAUUCUUCCCUCCCCAUGCCUACCACCCUAUGCCCUGUGGUCUCCUCAGAAGGAAAACUUAAGACUCGCAGCUGCACGGCUACAAGCGUGGGGAUGAAGCCACUGAGGGCCCCCACGUAUUUUCCUUGGCUCCUGCACAAGCUGUUGACAUCAUUGCAGGCUUCACCAUUCAUGGACUGCUGUUUGGAGCUUGUGGCCACGCGGGGCUGUGCUCCAGAGUCUGGGGAAGGAAUGACGAGCGAGGUGAGCCCCACCCACUGCCAGCCCACUCCUCUAGUGCACAGGAGUCCAGCCGAGGCAGCAGAGCCUUUGUUCUGGUUCUAAGAUUGGGGGAAAUGGUGACAAAUGCCUGCUGCAGCCUCCCGACGAUGCCCUCAGUCUCUGAACCCAUGGAGAUAUUAUUCUGCUGAUGAAGACAGAGCCCUCAGGAUCUGGAUCUCAGGUAUACGUUCCCAGGCCCAUUGUUUAUAAAGUAUUAAGUGCUGUGCAUGUUUUCUGCACCCCACUUGACUAUAAGUCAGGUAUUUCCAGAGAGCUCAUCAGCGGGCAACCAAACCCUAGCCAUUCUUCCGGGGACAUUCCGGAUUUAAACCACAGUACAUAAAAGGCACAGACAUGGUGAGUGUUGAAACAACAGAAGCAGAAACCCCCACGUUUUCGCUCAGACAGCAUCCUUCCUGCCCUUCCCAGAAGCCCAUUUUACCCCUCAGUGUGCUCCCCUACUGAGCUCUAAGACUCCCAGGACUGGGGCACUGCAGUGUUCUGGCCCCUGGAAUUGUGCUGCCGCAUAGCGAACACUUCACUAAUGUUCAUGGAUAAUGCAUAACAAUGUCUACCUGUUAGGUUUCUAUGCUGUGAUGAAACACCACCAUCAAAAUCAAGUUGGGAAGGAAAGAAUUGUUUGGCUUACACUUCCACAGCACUGUUCCUCAUCGAAGGAAGUCAGGACAGAAACUAACAGGAUGGGAACCUGGAGGCAGGAGCUGAUACAGAAGCCAUGGAGGUGUGCUGCUUGCUGACUUGCUUCUCACAGCUUUCUCAGCCUGGUUUCUCAUAGAACCCAGGGCCACCAGCUCAGGGUACCACCCACAAUGAACUGGACCCUCCCCCAUCAAUCACUAAACAAGAAAAUGCCCUAGAGGCUUAUCUACAGCCUUAUCUUACAGAAGCAUCUUCCCAACCAAGGCUCCCUCUCUCUCUCUGAAGACUCUAGCUUGUGUCAAUUUGACAACAACAACUCCCCCCCCCCCAAAAAAAACUAGCAGCUCAUGAUUACGAUGUUUGCUAUUAAGAUUAUUAUUAAAGUAUUAUUAAGAGCCCAACAACUUUAAGGGACUGAGAGUUUGCACUUACUGUCUUAACUAAGACAGUAACAUCCUCCCCUCAAAGUACUCAUUGUCAUCUGUUUCGGAGAAGCUCCGGUAAUUGAAGUGACGGUCCCUGAUGCUGCAUGGCGAGCAGCAAGAGCCAGAACCAACCCUGGAAUUCACGCACUCUCCUCAGAACCACGCUGUGACCCACAGGGAUUUGUAAUGCCCCAUAUAUUCUGUUUCAACAAUGAGGAGCCACAACUACAGUCCACCAUUCCUGAGAGUUGAGCAAUUCAUCCCCCUCUGCCAUUUGCCCUGGCCAGCUCUGCUGCCUGCCCAGCAGAAGGAAGGUGGGGGCUUGUGGUAAUUACAGACUAUGUUGUCCUUUUCAUUUAUGUCUUCACAAUCCAGCCUGACACCGUGUCAUAAAAGUUUAUGUACUGUGUUCUCUCCGCUCCUCACUAAUAUUCGCCGGCAUUCUCCCUGGCCAUCCUGAAUCAAUACCGUCUCUCCCUCUCUCAAUAAAGAAGGGAGCGGUGAACAAGGCCCAAAUGUGCACAAUGACUAUUUGCGGCAAUUAGACGUCACUCUGAAAAAUGACCACUCUGGAGGAGAGUGCACAAGAUCUAAGGACUGGCACAGCCCUAAUGUCCCUCACCAGAGACGCUGAAAAUUGCGUGGCUUAAAAAAUAUCUCCCCUCUCCUCACUUCUUCUCUUUUCUCCACUAUCUUGUCUUUCUUUCUCGCCAGAGAUAUGGAGAGAGAAGAGCAUUCAAAUUAGGGACCCCGGCAAUCGAUUUUUACUUGCAGUUGGUGGAUUGUAAUCAAUGUUAAUUAACCAGGUUCUUUUUCAGUCCAGGUUUGGACAGGAGAGUAACUGCACAAUAUUUUUGACCAAGACAAAGGAUAUUAAUGGGCUUUGGUCAGUCAGAGGGCAAGAUGGGGAGGAGGGCUUAUGUUGAGAGAGUCUUGGAGGAGAGCGAAGGCUGGGGCUGCUCUCAGGUGGCCCUGUCCGUGACCUUAGCAGCUUUCUUGAGAGCCUUAGCAUGGUGUAUCAGCUGCCUGCAUGUCUGCAAGUAAGAAGCAGACCUUCUGUCCUAGGUAGGG
This is a long non-coding RNA of Alexandromys fortis (reed vole), 2701 nucleotides long. RefSeq lists it as uncharacterized. The record is from RefSeq and is a predicted model, not a curated record. The transcript has 4 exons. NCBI's taxonomy places the organism in Eukaryota, Metazoa, Chordata, Mammalia, Rodentia, Cricetidae.